Molecule: ribosomal RNA, 497 nt
Filed under: uncultured bacterium
Lineage: Bacteria
Description: partial 16S ribosomal RNA
Rfam family: Bacterial small subunit ribosomal RNA
Source: RNAcentral
GAUGAACGCUGGCGGCGUGCCUAAUACAUGCAAGUCGAGCGAACGGACGAGAAGCUUGCUUCUCUGAUGUUAGUGGCGGACGGGUGAGUAACACGUGGAUAACCUACCUAUAAGACUGGGAUAACUUCGGGAAACCGGAGCUAAUACCGGAUGAUAUUUUGAACCGCAUGGUUCAAAAGUGAAAGACGGUCUUGCUGUCACUUAUAGAUGGAUCCGCGCUGCAUUAGCUAGUUGGUAAGGUAACGGCUUACCAAGGCAACGAUGCAUAGCCGACCUGAGAGGGUGAUCGGCCACACUGGAACUGAGACACGGUCCAGACUCCUACGGGAGGCAGCAGUAGGGAAUCUUCCGCAAAGGGCGAAAGCCUGACGGAGCAACGCCGCGUGAGUGAUGAAGGUCUUCGGAUCGUAAAACUCUGUUAUUAGGGAAGAACAUAUGUGUAAGUAACUGUGCACAUCUUGACGGUACCUAAUCAGAAAGCCACGGCUAACUACGUG